GAUCCUGCAGGCUGCUGACGAACUGAAGCUUCCUGCUGAACUUUGAACUGAGGAAAAGGAGCGGGAGGAGGUCAAAGUUGGUCACAGUCCCCUGCUUUGAAGAGGGGGAGCGCACCUGAUGAAGGGUUUGAUGAUGGUGAUGAGCGCUUUGAUGGACCAGGUAGGAUGAACCACAUACACGCCUUUUAGGUUCUUCCUUAACCUGCACACAAACACAUGAUGAUGAAGUAUGCAAGUUUACCUCCCAGGUUGCUCUGACGCCCCCCUAUGGACACACACUGACAUGACAGAAGAAAGCACCUCCAUGCGAUGGUGUGGUAACAUUCCUUCAGCCAGCUGAUCCCGGGAAUUUUGUCUUUCUGUCCUCCAGCACAAAGAUAAACGAUCACAUAGUUUUCGGCUACCAUCAGGUCCAACGUUCCCACCAAGUACCUACAAAACAUGCACUAACCUGAGAUGUUGGCAAAGGUGAAAGGUCACAGCAGGUUUCUGAGGUAUUGUGUGUGUGGGCCGGUCGUACCUCCAUGUGACAGAAUCUUGAGGAAAGGCUCCAGGACGCUCAUGUUGACACGGCUCUGCUGAGGGGGCUCGUCCACGGUGAAAGCGCGCCACCUGGUGCCCUUGUGGUCCACCACAUCCUCACGCUCCAGCGCUCCCAGUCCACCUUGCUCGGAGUCCAGCAAGGACCCGAUCCAGGUCGUCGGUGGGGAAGCGGAGGGACUCGCUGUCUGACGGCGUCUCCAUGGCGUCCAGGUCGAAGUCCAGCACGCCAUCAUCUUGAUCCCCAGGAGACGGCGAGAGGAACGCCGAGUGGAAGUCGCCAGACUCGCUGCGUCCUGAAGAAGACGAAGAAGGCGUCAGCGGACAAACAAGACAAGGCCGCUGACCUUCAUCAUUGGGGUGUCACCUAAGGAUACGCUGAGGGCCGGAGCUGCCAGGACUCUCUUCUUCUUCACGCCACAAGAUAUUGAUAUCGGCAGGGUGCUGGGACGCUCUGAGGACAGGAAGUAAGAAAAUCAGACAGAUGAAAGCGAAAAUAGACAUUUGUCAAACGUGUUAAGAGGGUUUGCCUGCUGUGGCUCUGGAUGACGUUUCCUCCCCAACUCCUCCUCCUUGAAGACCAUGAUGGUGAUAAGAGGAAAAAAAGGCGACAUGUUGACAUCUCACUGAGUCUUCAUCACACUGUCUGCUCACCUGUGUCCUCUUCCUUCUUGUCUUCCUCCCGCUCCUCCUCUUCCUCCCUGUCUUCAUCCCGCUCCUCCUUUUCCUCUUCACAACAACAAUCACUCAUGAAAGAGGUCAAUCACCUUCACCUCUUGUCUGCGUGCUUCUAACCUGCUGAAUCAGCGUCUCUUGUCUCCAUGGCAACACUGCACCCCUGCACUGACGAGUCUUCCUCACGUUCUAUUUGAUAGUCACUUCAUUAGAUAUACAGAAACUCGUCCUCAUAACAAAUCAUAUCAAUUCAAUUUAACCAAAGUGAUACUUUGAAUGCUCUCAUAAAGGUGUAAUUGAACUACAAUAAAGUACAAAUAGUAUAAUACAACUACAAUACAGUAAAACUAGUAUCUUAACAUACUGAAACUAUAUUAGGUAAAACCAAAAUAAAGUAAAACUACCCACCUAGCAUAACGAAAUUACAAAAGGCUCCAGCUCCCGCCCUGCAACCCUGACAGGGAUAAGCGGUAGAAAUGGAUGGAUGGAAUACAAUAAAACUACUUACCAAACAUAAUGAAAUUACAAUAAUGUGAAACUGAAAUAAAAGAAAACUUCUCACUUACCUCAAUAAAACAUCAAACUACAAUAAAGUAAAACUACUCCCCUGGCACAAUGAAACUACAAUACAGUAAAACUACUUACCUAACAUAAUUAAACUACCAUCGAGUAAAACAAAAAUAAAGGAAUACUCACCUAGCAUAAUUAAACUACAAUUAAGUUAAAAACUACAAAAAAGUAAAACUACUCACCUGGUAUAAUGACUACAAUACAGUAAAAUUACUUAAGUAACAUACUGAAAUUACAAGUAAAACUAAGAUACAGUAAAAUUACUUACUGAACAUAAUGAAACGACAAUAACUUAAAAAUGAAAUAAAGAAUAACUUCUCACCAAGCUUAAUCAAACUCCAAUAAAGUUAAACUACUCACCUGGCGUAAUGAAACUGCAAUACAGUAAAACUACUUACCUAACAUAAUGAAACUGCAAUAUACUAAAACUAAAAUAAAUGAAAACUACUCACCUAGCAUAAUUAAACUACAAUUAAGUGAAAGACGACAGUUAAGCAAAAUUACUCACCUGGUCUAAUGACUACUAUACAGUAAAACCACUUACCUAACACAAUAAAAAUAUAAUAAAGUACACUUUUUGUACAACUUAAAUAAAGGAAAACUUCUCACCUAGCUUAAUCAAACUAAAAUAAAUAAAAACUACUCACCUAGCAUAAUUAAACUACAAUUAAGUUAACAUGUUAAAUAAUUUAAACUACUCACUUGGCAUAACAUACUAUAACGCAGUAAAACUACUUACCUAACAUAUUUAAACUACUAUAAAAUUUAAAAAAAAGUUAAAAAGUAAAACUACUCACCUAGCAUAUUGAAAUUACAAUACAGUAUACUGUUUACUUAACUUAAUGAAACUACAACAAACUGAAAAUACCAUACAGUAAAACUAAUUACUAAACAUAUUGAAAUUACAAGUAAAACAUAAAAUACAGAAAAAACUACUUAGUUCAGUUCAGUUCAGUUUCAGUUUAUUUCGGACAUGCAUACGAUACAACGUAAUGCAUCACAUAUUUCCAGUUGUUUCAUUACAGCACGUCCGAAAAGGAGUAGGAAGAAGCCGAGCUUAUUUAAUCCUACCCCUUUUCAUACCAUAGCAAUUUUAUCCCAUUUCCUUGUUCUCUGUAACAGAACAGUGAAUACAUAAAUAAUAUACCAUAGUGAGUAAACAAAUAUUAAAUACAUAUAUAAUCUUUAUCUAAAACACCAACAACAACAACAAAAACAACAAAAAUGAAAAAUAAAAAAAGGGUUCAAGAUGUUCAUCAUAAUUAUUGUUCUGUGUACUUUGUGAACACUUGUAGUUUGAACAGUCUCUUAAAGUGAAUCAUAUUGGUGCUUUGUUUGACUUCUUUGGUUAAUUCAUUCCAUAAUUUAAUUCCACAUACGGAUAUGAUAAAUGUUUUAAAUGUUGUACGAGCAUACAAAUGUUUUAAAUUAGAUUUUUCUCUGAGGUUAUAUUUCUCCUCUUCUGUUGAGAAGAAUUGUUGUACAUUCUUGGGUAGCAGAGUGUAGUUUGUUUUAAACAUAAUUUUAGCUGUUUGCAAAUGCACCAAAUCGUUGAAUUUCAAUAUUUGUGUGUGUGAUUCAAUAAAUAAAGGGUUUGUAUAUU
Long non-coding RNA from Nerophis lumbriciformis (worm pipefish), 3388 nucleotides. RefSeq lists it as uncharacterized. The record is from RefSeq and is a predicted model, not a curated record. NCBI's taxonomy places the organism in Eukaryota, Metazoa, Chordata, Actinopteri, Syngnathiformes, Syngnathidae.